This 490-nucleotide ribosomal RNA is filed under the name uncultured bacterium. Its description in RNAcentral is "bacterial SSU rRNA". It matches the Rfam family "Bacterial small subunit ribosomal RNA", at positions 8 to 518 of the family's 1533-position model. The record is from RNAcentral.
AGAGUUGAUCAUGGCUCGAGGACGAACGCUGGCGGCGUGCUUCAUACAUGCAAGUCGAACGAGAAUCUGGUGCUUGCACCAGAGGAAAGUGGCGGACGGGUGAGUAAUAUGUAGAGAAUCUGCCCUUAGCGGGGGACAACAGUUGGAAACGACUGCUAAUACCCCAUAUGAGCGUAGCUGAGAUGCUAUUCUUGAAAACUCCGGUGCUAAAGGAUGAGUCUGCAUCUGAUUAGCUAGUUGGCGGUGUAAUGGACCACCAAGGCGACGAUCAGUAGCUGGUUUGAGAGGAUGAUCAGCCACAAUGGGACUGAGACACGGCCCAUACUCCUACGGGAGGCAGCAGUAGGGAAUUUUGCGCAAUGGGCGAAAGCCUGACGCAGCAACGCCGCGUGACCGAUGAAGCCCUUCGGGGUGUAAAGGUCUGUCAGUGGGGACGAAACUUGACGGUACCCACAGAGGAAGCAUCGGCUAACUCCGUGCCAGCCGCGGC